UGAAGUAUAGCAUAAAUUUCAAUGCAUUUCACUUACACUGAUAAGAUGGCUACUAAAUAAGCCUACUUUAA
RNAcentral lists this transfer RNA (71 nucleotides) under Phasianella solida. RNAcentral's name for it is "tRNA-Val". It matches the Rfam family "tRNA". Rfam says of the family: Transfer RNA (tRNA) molecules are approximately 80 nucleotides in length. Their secondary structure includes four short double-helical elements and three loops (D, anti-codon, and T loops). Lineage: Eukaryota; Metazoa; Mollusca; Gastropoda; Trochida; Phasianellidae. The record is from RNAcentral.